CGAGCCUAUGGAAACAGACUGGAAGGAAAAGCUCACGAGGGAAAGACAACAACUUGAAGAUGUAAAGGAGGAGAUACAGAAGGAAAAAGAAGCCUUUGAGAGAAAGAAGGGAUUGACCGUGAAAGAAAGAGAUGAGUUUGAUCUGAUGAAGUCUGAAACCCAGGGACAAUUGGAGGAAAUAGAACAAAACAAACAAGACAUUCGUGUGGAGAAGGAAAUAGAACAAAACAAACAAGACAUUCGUGUGGAGAAGGAAAAGCUGGAUCAGAUCAAAGCUGAGUUAGAAAGACGGUCUGAAGACAUCAAUCAGCUCAUGGUUGAGACAAGACGGGAGAGGGGGAAGGUUGAAGAACUGGCUAUCCAAACUAAAAAACAAAGAGAAGAAAUGGUGGGUUUUAUGGAAAAGAACAAACAAAAGCAAAACGAACUGGAACUCAUGACUGACAAGAUUGAAAGAGAGAAACAAGACAUCGAAGACAGUCGAGAUGUGCUAACAAAGGAGAGAGAGGAGCUGGAACAAAUGAGGAGUGAGAUACAGCAACAGAGAGAGGAGACAGAAUCUCACAUGGAAGACCAAAGGAAAGAGAAAGAACAUUUGGAACAAAUGACGACGGACAUGAAAAAACAGUUGCUAGAGGUGGACAAUGACAAGGAAAUGAUA
Molecule: long non-coding RNA, 661 nt
Filed under: Oncorhynchus mykiss (rainbow trout)
Lineage: Eukaryota; Metazoa; Chordata; Actinopteri; Salmoniformes; Salmonidae
Description: lncRNA (ENSOMYG00000038033.2)
Source: RNAcentral